This 694-nucleotide long non-coding RNA is filed under the name Homo sapiens (human). RNAcentral describes it as "HSALNT0021413". The record is from RNAcentral. Lineage: Eukaryota; Metazoa; Chordata; Mammalia; Primates; Hominidae.
GCGCCCCUCACACCAGCUCUCACCCCUGUGGCGGAGGCCUGCAUGUGACCCUGGGCCAGCUAAGCUGGUCCUUAGACGCGUGCCUCUGCGUCUCUCACUUCCUCUCUUUGUUGGAGGGGGAGGGACGGAGAAGAGGAGUGGAAAGUGGAACAAAGUCAGAUGAGUAGGAGCCCCUAAUCUAUAAUUGCAAGAGGAAGCUUGGCCUGGCGGUUUAAAACGGUCUUGCAAUGCUCUGAGCCCUCCUCUCCUCGCCUUAGAAUGCAACUGCUAAACCCUGCCCUGCCUGACAAGGCCUAUGAAAGCAGAAAGGAAGGAUCGUGCAGAGAAAGCCUAAAGCCGCUGUUCAGCCACAGAAGAAGCCUCAAGCGCUAGAUGUGGCGUCAAAUCUGGUGUUGGCCCUGUGGCAGGGUGGACCUGAAGACCACAUCUUCCUCUCCUCCCACUGCCUGAAACAGCUGUUGUGUGAGGGCCCUCGGCUCCUCAGUGGUGAAGCAGAUAGAGGCUGCUUGUUGUGCCUUGGUGAAUGCUGCUCUGUGUCCCUUGCAGCUGCAGCUUGGUAACCCCUCCACUCAGGCCACUGGGAGCCUCUUCUCUCCUCAGUGAUAAGCAGAAUAGUGCCAGCCACAUCAAAGAACCCUGGACCUCCUGGAGCAUUAGCAAUGGGAGGUCCCCAUCACCUCUCCUGACCACUCAC